RNAcentral lists this ribosomal RNA (470 nucleotides) under uncultured Novosphingobium sp. RNAcentral describes it as "bacterial SSU rRNA". It matches the Rfam family "Bacterial small subunit ribosomal RNA", at positions 8 to 527 of the family's 1533-position model. The record is from RNAcentral. Lineage: Bacteria; Pseudomonadati; Pseudomonadota; Alphaproteobacteria; Sphingomonadales; Sphingomonadaceae.
AGAGUUGAUUCUGGCUCAGAACGAACGCUGGCGGCAUGCCUAACACAUGCAAGUCGAACGAGACCUUCGGGUCUAGUGGCGCACGGGUGCGUAACGCGUGGGAAUCUGCCCUUGGGUUCGGAAUAACAGUGAGAAAUUACUGCUAAUACCGGAUGAUGACGUAAGUCCAAAGAUUUAUCGCCCAAGGAUGAGCCCGCGUAAGAUUAGCUAGUUGGUGGGGUAAAGGCCUACCAAGGCGACGAUCUUUAGCUGGUCUGAGAGGAUGAUCAGCCACACUGGGACUGAGACACGGCCCAACUCCUACGGGAGGCACAGUGGGGAAUAUUGGACAAUGGGCGAAAGCCUGAUCCAGCAAUGCCGCGUGAGUGAUGAAGGCCUUAGGGUUGUAAAGCUCUUUUACCAGGGAUGAUAAUGACAGUACCUGGAGAAUAAGCUCCGGCUAACUCCGUGCCAGCAGCCGCGGUAAUACA